UAAUUGAAGAGUUUGAUCAUGGCUCAGAUUGAACGCUGGCGGCAGGCCUAACACAUGCAAGUCGAGCGGUAACAGGGGAAGCUUGCUUCCCGCUGACGAGCGGCGGACGGGUGAGUAAUGUAUGGGGAUCUGCCCGAUAGAGGGGGAUAACUACUGGAAACGGUAGCUAAUACCGCAUAAUCUC
RNAcentral lists this ribosomal RNA (184 nucleotides) under Providencia rettgeri. Its description in RNAcentral is "partial 16S ribosomal RNA". It matches the Rfam family "Bacterial small subunit ribosomal RNA", at positions 1 to 180 of the family's 1533-position model. Lineage: Bacteria; Pseudomonadati; Pseudomonadota; Gammaproteobacteria; Enterobacterales; Morganellaceae. The record is from RNAcentral.